GAGGGUAUAGCUGAGUCGUAGCGUGCAUGCUUAGCAUGCAUGAAGUCCUGGGUUCAGUACCCAGUACCUCUG
RNAcentral lists this transfer RNA (72 nucleotides) under Camelus dromedarius (Arabian camel). It matches the Rfam family "tRNA". From Rfam's summary of the family: Transfer RNA (tRNA) molecules are approximately 80 nucleotides in length. Their secondary structure includes four short double-helical elements and three loops (D, anti-codon, and T loops). The record is from Rfam by way of RNAcentral. RNAcentral also lists the same sequence under 1 other name. Lineage: Eukaryota; Metazoa; Chordata; Mammalia; Artiodactyla; Camelidae.